Molecule: transfer RNA, 76 nt
Filed under: bacterium
Lineage: Bacteria
Also listed under: 3 other names
Description: tRNA-Ala
Rfam family: tRNA
About the family: Transfer RNA (tRNA) molecules are approximately 80 nucleotides in length. Their secondary structure includes four short double-helical elements and three loops (D, anti-codon, and T loops).
Source: RNAcentral
GGGGGCAUAGCUCAGCUGGGAGAGCACAGCGUUCGCAACGCUGGGGUCGUGGGUUCGAAUCCCAUUGCCUCCACCA